This 243-nucleotide long non-coding RNA is filed under the name Volvox carteri. RNAcentral's name for it is "long non-coding RNA (VCAR_LNC000548)". Lineage: Eukaryota; Viridiplantae; Chlorophyta; Chlorophyceae; Chlamydomonadales; Volvocaceae. The record is from RNAcentral.
GCAAUGGGGUUGAAGGGAACGGCAGCGCCGAAUCCAAGGUCCCACAGACCGCCUUGGAGAGUCCGCAGCCAAAAGAUGUAGACAGUGGGCUCACCCCUGGCGCUGCACCUGGCGCUGCACCUGCCGCUGCACCUGGCGCUGCACCUGGCGCUGCACCUGCCGCUGUCGGGGCGGCGACUGCGGCUGAGGAGGUCGAUGUGCUUAGCAUAUCUGUCGUACCCGAGUACGAUCAGUACGGAUUGG